UACGAAGGGGGCUAGCGUUGUUCGGAAUCACUGGGCGUAAAGGGCGCGUAGGCGGCCGAUCAAGUCGGGGGUGAAAGCCUGUGGCUCAACCACAGAAUUGCCUUCGAUACUGUUUGGCUUGAGACCGGAAGAGGUAAGUGGAACUGCGAGUGUAGAGGUGAAAUUCGUAGAUAUUCGCAAGAACACCGGUGGCGAAGGCGGCUUACUGGUCCGGUUCUGACACUGAGGCGCGAAAGCGUGGGGAGCAAACAGG
This 253-nucleotide ribosomal RNA is filed under the name uncultured bacterium. RNAcentral describes it as "partial 16S ribosomal RNA". It matches the Rfam family "Bacterial small subunit ribosomal RNA", at positions 524 to 776 of the family's 1533-position model. The record is from RNAcentral.